AGUGAACGCUGGCGGAAGGCCUAACACAUGCAAGUCGAACGAGUGGCGGACGGGUGAGGAAUACAUCGGAAUCUACUCUGUCGUGGGGGAUAACGUAGGGAAACUUACGCUAAUACCGCAUACGAUUGAAUGAGCCGAUGUCGGAUUAGCUAGUUGGCGGGGUAAAGGCCCACCAAGGCGACGAUCCGUAGCUGGUCUGAGAGGGUGAUCAGCCACACUGGAACUGAGACACGGUCCAAACUCCUACGGGGGGCAGCGGUGGGAAAUAUUGGAAAAGGGGCGCAAGCCUGAUCCAGCCAUACCGCGUGGGUGAAGAAGGCCUUCGGGUUGUAAAGCCCUUUUGUUGGGAGGCGUUACCAACAGAAUAAGCACCGGCUAACUUCGUGCCAGCAGCCGCGGUAAUAC
RNAcentral lists this ribosomal RNA (405 nucleotides) under uncultured bacterium. RNAcentral's name for it is "partial 16S ribosomal RNA". It matches the Rfam family "Bacterial small subunit ribosomal RNA", at positions 29 to 526 of the family's 1533-position model. The record is from RNAcentral.